RNAcentral lists this ribosomal RNA (242 nucleotides) under uncultured bacterium. RNAcentral describes it as "partial 16S ribosomal RNA". It matches the Rfam family "Bacterial small subunit ribosomal RNA", at positions 524 to 776 of the family's 1533-position model. The record is from RNAcentral.
UACGUAGGGACCAAGCGUUGUUCGGAUUUACUGGGCGUAAAGGGCGCGGUAAGUCACUUGUGAAAUCUCUGAGCUUAACUCAGAACGGCCAAGUGAUACUGCAGUGCUAGAGUGUGGAAGGGGCAAUCGGAAUUCUUGGUGUAGCGGUGAAAUGCGUAGAUAUCAAGAGGAACACCUGAGGUGAAGACGGGUUGCUGGGCCAACACUGACGCUGAGGCGCGAAAGCCAGGGGAGCAAACGGG